UUGCUCCCAGUUGGAGAAAAAUGUGAACAUGUGUCAAGCAGGUUGGGUGGAGCUGUCACAACUCACUCCCAGGUCAUACUCAAGGCUUGUCCAUCAACUGGACAAUAAACCCUGUCCUGUCUUACAAAAAAAUGCAUAAAAGAAGGAUGUGUUUGAAGGACAGAGAGAGAGCUCUGCCUGCUUUCCUCAACUGACUGUAAGAGGAGUGAGGACCUGACAGCUCAGAGGGGAGAUGAUCUGAAUUUCUCAUCAAUCUCCUGACUUUACACUCCUUGAGAGGGUGUCAACAGGAAACCUGGUUUUGCUUCAGUUUUCAGUAUUUGAAAUCCAGUGGGACCUUUUGGUACAAAAGCUCAAUUUGGACUGGAUGGGAACCCAGUUUACUAGUUUAAGUCACUGUUGGCUAAUACAGCUUGAAGCUGUUCUACAAUAAAGCACAACAUUCAGCUGUGAGCUUUAUCACUGGGACUCAUCUGACCUUUCCCAGGCCUCUGAAGGGAAGGACCAGGCCCGUCUUUGGCUUUCGACUCCGCAGACGGGUAGUUUUUUUUUUUUUUUGUUCCCUUUCCCAAUUUCCCUUUGCUUGCAGAACAGUUGCUUUCCCCGAAGCAGACAGGCAUGACCUGAAUACGUUGAAUGUUUGGCUGGAAAUAAUCUACUUAACAUAAAUAUUUCCAUCUAAAUUUUACCCUGGAUGGCUUCCUUAGUGUUCUCAGAGGACUGAAGGAAAAGUGGGUUUUCAGGGAUGAGGUGGUGAGGAGCUGGGUCACCUGAACUCACAAGCCCUUGUGGUAGAGGAGCUGCCAAAAAAUCUGAUUUCGUGCAUGAUGCUGGAAAGUUAUGCCUAUGGUCUGUGAUUACCAGGACAAAAAUGACCUCUUGACAAUAAGAAGGGAAAAUGGUGGUGGUCAAAAUCAGGAGAAAGCACGAAUGUGGAGGUUGGAUCAGACCGUGACUAUGGUGAAGCUCUUUGCUGGAAAUAUGUGAUGGAACUGGCACAGUGGCCUUUUCCCCAGCAUGGCAGAGGGACUUGGAGUCUACACUGUAGAUUAUGUUACAAUUAGACAUUGUUCAUCCAUCCAGAGAACACAGAACUUCACCUUUAGCCACCUAGUUGCUUUUCAUGUGAUUAUUCAGGAAAUGUGAAUUACAAGUAGAGCUUGUUUUUAAACAACGCUAAAAAAAUGUGAACUUGCUGACUGGGACUAAGACAAGAUAGACCAAAGCACAUAAAAAAUUAUGGAAAUUUAUUCACCUGAUCACACCCUGAGAGAAAAAUAAAGGUGUGAACAAAAAUAGUAAUUGUAAACCAGUUUUUUUUUUUUUUUUAAACACUUCCUUUUUCCCCCCUGGUAUCUAUUUUCCA
Molecule: long non-coding RNA, 1366 nt
Organism: Motacilla alba alba
Lineage: Eukaryota; Metazoa; Chordata; Aves; Passeriformes; Motacillidae
Exons: 4
Source: RefSeq, a predicted model, not a curated record